Molecule: transfer RNA, 76 nt
Filed under: Paenarthrobacter nitroguajacolicus
Lineage: Bacteria; Bacillati; Actinomycetota; Actinomycetes; Micrococcales; Micrococcaceae
Also listed under: 1 other name
Description: tRNA-Arg
Rfam family: tRNA
About the family: Transfer RNA (tRNA) molecules are approximately 80 nucleotides in length. Their secondary structure includes four short double-helical elements and three loops (D, anti-codon, and T loops).
Source: RNAcentral
GCCCCAGUAGCUCAGGGGAUAGAGCAGCGGCCUUCUAAUCCGCCGGUCGGGGGUUCGAUUCCCUCCUGGGGCACCG